AAGUAACUCCCCUGUUCUUGAGCAGGGUGCUACUCAACCCGUGUAUACCUUACCUUUGUUGCUUUGGCGGGCCGCCUUCAGGCGUUGGCUCCGGUUGACAGCGCUCGCCAAAGGACCCAAACUCUUUUGUUUAGUGAUGUCUGAGUACUAUAUAAUAGUUA
This 161-nucleotide unclassified non-coding RNA is filed under the name uncultured Rhizoscyphus. RNAcentral's name for it is "sequence contains ITS1". The record is from RNAcentral. Lineage: Eukaryota; Fungi; Ascomycota; Leotiomycetes; Helotiales; Helotiaceae.